RNAcentral lists this ribosomal RNA (400 nucleotides) under Penaeus monodon (black tiger shrimp). RNAcentral describes it as "partial 16S ribosomal RNA". It matches the Rfam family "Bacterial large subunit ribosomal RNA", at positions 1944 to 2543 of the family's 2925-position model. Lineage: Eukaryota; Metazoa; Arthropoda; Malacostraca; Decapoda; Penaeidae. The record is from RNAcentral.
UCUUGUGCGAAGGUAGCAUAAUCAUUAGUCUUUUAAUUGAAGGCUUGUAUGAAUGGUUGGACAAAAAGUAAUCUGUCUCAGUUAUAAUAGUUGAACUUAACUUUUAAGUGAAAAGGCUUAAAUACUUUAAGGGGACGAUAAGACCCUAUAAAACUUAACAAUAAUUUGAUUAAAUUAUAAAUUGUUAGUAUAACUUGAUUUUAAUUAAUGUUUGUUGCGUUGGGGCGACGGGAAUAUAAUUAGUAACUGUUCUUAAAUAUUUUAUUAACAAGUAUAAUUGAAGAAUAAUUGAUCCUUUAUUAAAGAUUAAAAGAUUAAGUUACUUUAGGGAUAACAGCGUAAUCUUCUUUGAGAGUCCUCAUCGACAAGAAGGUUUGCGACCUCGAUGUUGAAUUAAGGA